This 410-nucleotide ribosomal RNA is filed under the name uncultured bacterium. RNAcentral's name for it is "bacterial SSU rRNA". It matches the Rfam family "Bacterial small subunit ribosomal RNA", at positions 370 to 772 of the family's 1533-position model. The record is from RNAcentral.
AAUGGGCGCAAGCCUGAUCCAGCAAUGCCGCGUGGGUGAAGACGGCCUGCGGGUUGUAAAGCCCUUUAGGCGGGGAGGAACGGUCGGGUGCCAAUACCACCCGGCGCUGACGUUACCCGCAGAAUAAGCACCGGCUAACUCCGUGCCAGCAGCCGCGGUAAUACGGAGGGUGCGAGCGUUAAUCGGAAUUACUGGGCGUAAAGCGUGCGUAGGCGGUAGCGUCAGUCAGCCGUGAAAGCCCCGGGCUUAACCUGGGAACGGCGGUUGAGACGGCGCAACUAGAGUGGGCUAGAGGAUCGUGGAAUUCCGGGUGUAGCGGUGAAAUGCGUAGAGAUCCGGAGGAACACCGAUGGCGAAGGCAGCGGUCUGGGGCCACACUGACGCUGAGGCACGACAGCGUGGGGAGCAAA